UACAGAGGGUGCAAGCGUUAAUCGGAAUUACUGGGCGUAAAGCGCGCGUAGGCGGCUGAUUAAGUCGGAUGUGAAAUCCCUGGGCUCAACCUAGGAACUGCAUUCGAUACUGAUCGGCUAGAGUAUGAGAGAGGGAGGUAGAAUUCCACGUGUAGCGGUGAAAUGCGUAGAUAUGUGGAGGAAUACCGGUGGCGAAGGCGGCCUCCUGGCUUAAUACUGACGCUGAGGUGCGAAAGCGUGGGGAGCAAACAGG
RNAcentral lists this ribosomal RNA (253 nucleotides) under uncultured bacterium. RNAcentral's name for it is "partial 16S ribosomal RNA". It matches the Rfam family "Bacterial small subunit ribosomal RNA", at positions 524 to 776 of the family's 1533-position model. The record is from RNAcentral.